Leptonychotes weddellii (Weddell seal) is the source of this 400-nucleotide non-coding RNA. Lineage: Eukaryota; Metazoa; Chordata; Mammalia; Carnivora; Phocidae. The record is from RefSeq and is a predicted model, not a curated record.
ACAAAUCAGAGACCCAAAAAGUCUCUGAGAUAAACCAAUCUCGUGUCUUCUGCCUUAAAAAGAGAGGUGUUUCUCUCACUUUUUCAUCCUGCCAAGGAUACCAAAAAUGAGGCUGCAAAGCCCCAUCUCCACCCUUCCAGUUAAUCAAGUCUGAAAAAUUCCUGCAAGCAAAACAACGGAGGGAGGUUGUGCUGUGAAUCGUCAAGGACUUUAGAAUCCCUGUGAUUUAUAGCUUACACGGAGCACGAUGCUCUAGGCACCGGGGCGGCAGCAUCAACUGGGCAGGAUUCCUGUGCUCACAGGGCUUCCAUCCUUUGUAAAGUCUCACUCACUAUUUGAUUUUAAGUUCCGGGAGGAGAAGAUUUUAUUUACUUGACAGAGACACAGCGAGAGAUGGAAC